This 428-nucleotide ribosomal RNA is filed under the name Symplocodes ridleyi. RNAcentral's name for it is "partial 16S ribosomal RNA". It matches the Rfam family "Bacterial large subunit ribosomal RNA", at positions 1826 to 2523 of the family's 2925-position model. The record is from RNAcentral. Lineage: Eukaryota; Metazoa; Arthropoda; Insecta; Blattodea; Blattellidae.
CUUUCCUUGAAUGUUUGGGGAAUAUGACCUGCCCACUGAAAUAUUUGAAGGGCCGCGGUAAUUUGACCGUGCAAAGGUAGCAUAAUCAUUAGUUUCUUAAUUGGGAACUGGAAUGAAUGGUUAGAUGAAAUAUAUGCUGUCUUGGCUUAAUUUAUAGAAUUUAAUUAUUAGGUUAAAAAGCCUAAAUGGAUUUGUGGGACGAGAAGACCCUAUAGAAUUUGAUAAUUUGAACUGCGGUUUUGUAUGAUUUUUAUUAGUAUUUUGAAUUAUUUUGUUGGGGUGAUAGGAAGAUAAAUCAAACUCUUUUUGUUUUGUUUAUAUUGAUAAAUAAAUAGGUGAUCCAUCUAAUGAUGAUUAUAAGAUUUAAUUACCUUAGGGAUAACAGCGUAAUCUUUCUUGAGAGUUCAUAUCGACAGGAAGGGUUGCGA